Molecule: ribosomal RNA, 484 nt
Filed under: uncultured bacterium
Lineage: Bacteria
Description: partial 16S ribosomal RNA
Rfam family: Bacterial small subunit ribosomal RNA
Source: RNAcentral
AUUGAACGCUGGCGGCAGGCCUAACACAUGCAAGUCGAGCGGAUGAAGGGAGCUUGCUCCUGGAUUCAGCGGCGGACGGGUGAGUAAUGCCUAGGAAUCUGCCUGGUAGUGGGGGAUAACGUCCGGAAACGGGCGCUAAUACCGCAUACGUCCUGAGGGAGAAGGUGGGGGAUCUUCGGACCUCACGCUAUCAGAUGAGCCUAGGUCGGAUUAGCUAGUUGGUGGGGUAAAGGCCUACCAAGGCGACGAUCCGUAACUGGUCUGAGAGGAUGAUCAGUCACACUGGAACUGAGACACGGUCCAGACUCCUACGGGAGGCAGCAGUGGGGAAUAUUGGACAAUGGGCGAAAGCCUGAUUCAGCCAUGCCGCGUGUGUGAAGAAGGUCUUCGGAUUGUAAAGCACUUUAAGUUGGGAGGAAGGGCAGUAAGGUAAUACCUUGCUGUUUUGACGUUACCAACAGAAUAAGCACCGGCUAACUUCGUG